RNAcentral lists this ribosomal RNA (324 nucleotides) under Triticum aestivum (bread wheat). Its description in RNAcentral is "partial small subunit ribosomal RNA". The record is from RNAcentral. Lineage: Eukaryota; Viridiplantae; Streptophyta; Magnoliopsida; Poales; Poaceae.
AUGCUAAUAAUUUUGAGCAUCGAAAUGUAUUUCCACCAUGCGGGGAGAGAGAGAAGCAAGAACAUCUUCAGAACUAACCGAGAUUUAGUCUCAGAGGUGGUCGCCACUGUUGGGGGAGCCGGAGGUAGGCGGAAGAUGGCGGGGCCGGUAGGGAAGGUGCUGCGCGAGCAAGGGUGGGUUGGAGAAAUAGCCGCGCCGUUCCUGUUGCAGCAGCAGUCAGCAGGCAGGGGCGCAGACGGCGAGCACUGCAACUCCGGCAAUGUCGGGGGGCGAGGUUACCACAAAUGCGAGAAGGAGCCCAUGUUUCUGACGAGGCUUGCUUGA